UUGAUUCCUGCUCAGGAUGAACGCUGGCGGCGUGCUUAACACAUGCAAGUCGAACGAUGAUCUCCAGCUUGCUGGGGGGAUUAGUGGCGAACGGGUGAGUAACACGUGAGUAACCUGCCCUUGACUCUGGGAUAAGCCUGGGAAACUGGGUCUAAUACCGGAUACGACCGUCCCGCGCAUGCGGUGGUGGUGGAAAGCUUUUGCGGUUUUGGAUGGACUCGCGGCCUAUCAGCUUGUUGGUGGGGUAAUGGCCUACCAAGGCGACGACGGGUAGCCGGCCUGAGAGGGUGACCGGCCACACUGGGACUGAGACACGGCCCAGACUCCUACGGGAGGCAGCAGUGGGGAAUAUUGCACAAUGGGCGAAAGCCUGAUGCAGCGACGCCGCGUGAGGGAUGACGGCCUUCGGGUUGUAAACCUCUUUCAGUAGGGAAGAAGCGAAAGUGACGGUACCUGCAGAAGAAGCGCCGGCUAACUACGUGCCAGCAGCCGCGGUAAUACGUAGGGCGCAAGCGUUAUCCGGAAUUAUUGGGCGUAAAGAGCUCGUAGGCGGUUUGUCGCGUCUGCUGUGAAAGACCGGGGCUCAACUCCGGUUCUGCAGUGGGUACGGGCAGACUAGAGUGAUGUAGGGGAGACUGGAAUUCCUGGUGUAGCGGUGAAAUGCGCAGAUAUCAGGAGGAACACCGAUGGCGAAGGCAGGUCUCUGGGCAUUAACUGACGCUGAGGAGCGAAAGCAUGGGGAGCGAACAGGAUUAGAUACCCUGGUAGUCCAUGCCGUAAACGUUGGGCACUAGGUGUGGGGGACAUUCCACGUUUUCCGCGCCGUAGCUAACGCAUUAAGU
This 842-nucleotide ribosomal RNA is filed under the name Arthrobacter sp. RNAcentral's name for it is "bacterial SSU rRNA". It matches the Rfam family "Bacterial small subunit ribosomal RNA", at positions 13 to 865 of the family's 1533-position model. Lineage: Bacteria; Bacillati; Actinomycetota; Actinomycetes; Micrococcales; Micrococcaceae. The record is from RNAcentral.